Long non-coding RNA from Suricata suricatta (meerkat), 751 nucleotides. RefSeq lists it as uncharacterized. NCBI's taxonomy places the organism in Eukaryota, Metazoa, Chordata, Mammalia, Carnivora, Herpestidae. The transcript is spliced from 3 exons. The record is from RefSeq and is a predicted model, not a curated record.
UCCCGCCCCCUCGGCCUUCCGGGCGAAGUUUCCCUAACUUUCUCUUCUCUGAAUCUCCGCUCUCCAGCUCCGUCCUUGCCCUCCAAGGUUUUGCCCACAAAAUGGUUGGUUAUCUCCUGAAGAGCAGCAUCUCCAUCUGCCUGUGUCCCUUCUCCCUCCAGUGCCUAGAAGAUGGCAAGCCUCCAUAACAUUCAUUGAAUGAAUGAAUGAAUGAAUGAAUGAAGUCUAGCGAAACAGUUACCCUCGUGGGCCUAGAGCUCAACAAGCCACAGUCCACGAGCUACAAAAUUUUUGUUUGAUUUUUUUCUGGUUUAAAGUGGCUGGGGAAAGUCAAAAGAAGUAUUCUUUCAUAAUGUGUGCAAAUGAUAUGAAAUUCCAAUGUGAGUAUCCACUGGCACGAAGCCACGCCCACUCAUUCGUGUGUUGUGUGUGGCCGUGUGGGCAAGGCGACGGCAGAGCCGAGUGGUUGCAACAAGGACGGGUCCACAAAGCCCACGCCAUUGACUCUCUCUGGUCCAUUUCAGAAAAAAAAAAAGUUGCCAACUCUGCUCUAGAGUGUGGAGUUUCGGCUCUCGAAGUUACAGCUGUGUGAUCCGAGAGAAAAUUGGGCCCCGAUUGUUAACUGGGCCACCUCAUCGGACCCUCCCAAUGGCCCUAGAUUGCGGGCAUUGACUGCCCCAUGUUGCAGAUAAUUAAAUUCAGCCAAAGGCAAGCAAAGUGACCGUGCAAGGUCAUUCAGCUAACAAGAAAU